UAUAAAAAAAAUUCACUUUAUUCUGCUGGGUUUCUCCCAACCUUCACAGUCCUUCUCUGCGUUUGUAUCUUCCUCUCUUCUCUUUAAUCUCGUCUCUUCUCCUCCAUAAAGAAGACAAAGAAGCUUCCUCCAUGGCGCCUGCCAAGGUCACCGUAGCUUUUGCACACGCCUCACCCAGCCAACGAGAACGUCGUCACGUCAGAGAGCGUCGCCGUCUUCCUCGUUCUUCAUCAUCGUCGUCAGCCUCUCCCUUCCGGGAGUUUCACCAAAUUCCAAAUCACAAGUGAAAGCUAUGUGCAAUCAGAUUUGUAAUGCUCAACAGGCACCAAGUUUGCAACCUUUGUCUUUUGAACAUGUUCAUUCAAAAGAAGCUAACAUAUUGGCUAUUUUAGAGUUGACUCGUGCUCUUGACAAGAAGGUACUGCCUGCAGCAAUCUCUGUUUCCCAUUUUUGGUGUAACCAAAAUAAGAAGAAACUAUAUGCCUUUGUCAUGGCCUUCUUUUAAGGAGUGCAAUUUGCAGAUUGUGAAUGUCACAACUCCUGCUAACUUCUUUCAUGUUUUGCAGAGAGAGGAGGAUGUUGCAAUAUGCUAAGGUUUGGUGAAUUACAGGUGUCCUUCGGAAUUGAGCUUCUGUGUGGAAUCAAUGCUGCCUUACCAUACGGCUACUGCAUCAGCACUAAUGACUUCCAUGCUUGCUGUCUCUCGCCGCAGUUAUGGUUAGCUCUCGGAAG
Molecule: long non-coding RNA, 732 nt
Organism: Arachis duranensis
Lineage: Eukaryota; Viridiplantae; Streptophyta; Magnoliopsida; Fabales; Fabaceae
Exons: 5
Source: RefSeq, a predicted model, not a curated record